UACAGAGGGUGCAAGCGUUAAUCGGAAUUACUGGGCGUAAAGCGUGCGUAGACGGUUAUUUAAGUCAGAUGUGAAAGCCCCGGGCUCAACCUGGGAAUUGCAUUUGAGACUGCGUAGCUAGGGUGCGGAAGAGGGAAGCGGAAUUUCCGGUGUAGCGGUGAAAUGCGUAGAUAUCGGAAGGAACACCAGUGGCGAAAGCGGCUUCCUGGUCCAGCACCGACGUUCAGGCACGAAAGCGUGGGGAGCAAACAGG
This 253-nucleotide ribosomal RNA is filed under the name uncultured bacterium. Its description in RNAcentral is "partial 16S ribosomal RNA". It matches the Rfam family "Bacterial small subunit ribosomal RNA", at positions 524 to 776 of the family's 1533-position model. The record is from RNAcentral.